GACGAACGCUGGCGGCGUGCCUAAUACAUGCAGGUAGAACGCUGAAGGAGGAGCUUGCUCUUCUGGAUGAGUUGCGAACGGGUGAGUAACGCGUAGGUAACCUGCCUGGUAGCGGGGGAUAACUAUUGGAAACGAUAGCUAAUACCGCAUAAUAGUAGAUGUUGCAUGAUAUUUACUUAAAAGGUGCAAUUGCACCACUACCAGAUGGACCUGCGUUGUAUUAGCUAGUUGGUGGGGUAACGGCUCACCAAGGCGACGAUACAUAGCCGACCUGAGAGGGUGAUCGGCCACACUGGGACUGAGACACGGCCCAGACUCCUACGGGAGGCAGCAGUAGGGAAUCUUCGGCAAUGGACGAAAGUCUGACCGAGCAACGCCGCGUGAGUGAAGAAGGUUUUCGGAUCGUAAAGCUCUGUUGUAAGAGAAGAACGAGUGUGAGAGUGGAAAGUUCACACUGUGACGGUAUCUUACCAGAAAGGGACGGCUAACUACGUG
RNAcentral lists this ribosomal RNA (495 nucleotides) under uncultured bacterium. RNAcentral describes it as "partial 16S ribosomal RNA". It matches the Rfam family "Bacterial small subunit ribosomal RNA", at positions 28 to 507 of the family's 1533-position model. The record is from RNAcentral.